CUGCUGCCUUCCGUAGGAGUUUGGACUGUGUCUCAGUUCCAAUGUGGGGGACCUUCCUCUCAGAACCCCUAUCCAUCGAAGACUAGGUGGGCCGUUACCCCGCCUACUAUCUAAUGGAACGCAUCCCCAUCGUCUACCGGAAUACCUUUAAUCAUGUGAACAUGCGGACUCAUGAUGCCAUCUUGUAUUAAUCUUCCUUUCAGAAGGCUGUCCAAGAGUAGACGGCAGGUUGGAUACGUGUUACUCACCCGUGCCG
This 256-nucleotide ribosomal RNA is filed under the name uncultured bacterium. Its description in RNAcentral is "partial 16S ribosomal RNA". The record is from RNAcentral.